Molecule: ribosomal RNA, 795 nt
Filed under: uncultured archaeon
Lineage: Archaea
Description: bacterial SSU rRNA
Rfam family: Archaeal small subunit ribosomal RNA
Source: RNAcentral
UUCCGGUUGAUCCUGCCGGACCUUACUGCUAUCGGGGUGGGACUAAGACAUGCGAGUCGAGCGUUUCUAGCUAUGUUGAGACGCGGCAUACGGCUCAGUAACACGUGGCUAACCUACCCUCAGGACGGGGACAAACCCGGGAAACUGGGGCUAAUAUCCGAUAGGCGAGGAAUCCUGGAAUGGUUCUUCACCCAAAGGACAUUGGAAACAUGCUUUCUCUGUCGCCUGGGGAUGGGGCCGCGACCGAUCAGGUUGUUGGUGAGGUAAUGGCUCACCAAGCCUUUGACCGGUACGGGCCAUGAGAGUGGUAGCCCGGAGAUGGACACUGAGACAAGGGUCCAGGCCCUAAGGGGCGCAGCAACCGCGAAACCUCCACAAUGCACUAACGUGCGAUGGGGCUAUCUCGAGUGCCACCUGAUGAAGGUGGCUUUUCCUUGGUCUUCAAAGCCUUGGGAAUAAGAGGGGGGCAAGACUGGUGUCAGCCGCCGCGGUAACACCAGCCCCUCGAGUGGUGGGGAUGAUUAUUUGGCCUAAAGCGUCCGUAGCCGGCCGUGAAAGUCUUCCGUUAAAUCCAGCGUCUCAAGCGUUGGACCGCGGGAGAUACUACACGGCUAGAGAGUGGGAGAGGUCAGCGGUAUUCUGGGGGUAGGGGCGAAAUCCUUUGAUCCCCGGAGGACCACCAGUGGCGAAGGCUGCUGACUAGAACACGUCUGACGGUCAGGGACGAAAGCUGGGGUAGCGAACCGGAUUAGAUACCCGGGUAGUCCCAGCCGUAACGAUGCAUGCUAGGUGUUG